UGAGGAAUAUUGGUCAAUGGGCGCAGGCCUGAACCAGCCAAGUCGCGUGAGGGAAGACGGUCCUACGGAUUGUAAACCUCUUUUGUCGGGGAGUAACGUGCGGGACGGGUCCCGUAUUGAGAGUACCCGAAGAAAAAGCAUCGGCUAACUCCGUGCCAGCAGCCGCGGUAAUACGGAGGAUGCGAGCGUUAUCCGGAUUUAUUGGGUUUAAAGGGUGCGUAGGUGGUUUCUUAAGUCAGCGGUGAAAGUUUGUGGCUUAACCAUAAAAUUGCCAUUGAUACUGGGAGACUUGAGUAUGUUUGAGGUAGGCGGAAUGCGUGGUGUAGCGGUGAAAUGCACAGAUAUCACGCAGAACUCCGAUUGCGAAGGCAGCUUGCCAAGCCAUAACUGACACUGAAGCACGAAAGCGUGGGUAUCAAACAGGAUUAGAUACCCUGGUAGU
RNAcentral lists this ribosomal RNA (442 nucleotides) under uncultured Parabacteroides sp. Its description in RNAcentral is "bacterial SSU rRNA". It matches the Rfam family "Bacterial small subunit ribosomal RNA", at positions 355 to 794 of the family's 1533-position model. The record is from RNAcentral. Lineage: Bacteria; Pseudomonadati; Bacteroidota; Bacteroidia; Bacteroidales; Tannerellaceae.